UUGGAGAAGCAGGGCACGUGCA
RNAcentral lists this non-coding RNA (22 nucleotides) under Arabidopsis thaliana (thale cress). RNAcentral also lists the same sequence under 1 other name. Lineage: Eukaryota; Viridiplantae; Streptophyta; Magnoliopsida; Brassicales; Brassicaceae. The record is from RNAcentral.